RNAcentral lists this ribosomal RNA (540 nucleotides) under Triticum aestivum (bread wheat). Its description in RNAcentral is "partial small subunit ribosomal RNA". Lineage: Eukaryota; Viridiplantae; Streptophyta; Magnoliopsida; Poales; Poaceae. The record is from RNAcentral.
AUGUCCUCCUCCAGCUCGAGUUCCUUCUCUGGCCUAAACAACAACACCUCCGAACCCUUGAGCCGCACCAACUACAUCCUAUGGCGUGCCGAGGCUCGCUCUCAGAUCAUGGGGGCUGGCCUGUAUGGGUACCUAGAUGAAACAAACCCCGAGCCCUCCAAAACAAUUACAGCAAAAAACUCUGAAGGUAAGGAACAACUUGUUCCGAAUCCUGCCUACACCCCUUGGUUAAUCCAAGACCAGCAGAUUGUAGCCUAUCUGCUGAGAAACCUCUCCAAAGAAAUCCUUGUGCAAGUCGCCUCGAUGGAUACAUCUCGUGCGAUCUGGACAGCACUCUCCACCAUGUUUGCCUCCCAAUCCAAAUCCCGUGCAAACAAUCUCAGAAUCUCCCUAACCGAUGCCCACAAAGGCUCUCAAUCUGCCGCCGAUUACUUUGGCUAUAUGAGAUCGCUUUCAGAUGAACUUGCAGCUGCAGGGAGGGGCAUCGGAGAAGAAGAGCUGCUCUCCUUCAUCAUUGCAGGGCUGGAUAUGGACUAUUAG